This 305-nucleotide ribosomal RNA is filed under the name uncultured bacterium. Its description in RNAcentral is "bacterial SSU rRNA". It matches the Rfam family "Bacterial small subunit ribosomal RNA", at positions 334 to 656 of the family's 1533-position model. The record is from RNAcentral.
UUUCCCUACGGGGCGCAGCAGUGGGGGAUAUUGCACAAUGGGGGGAACCCUGAUGCAGCGACGCCGCGUGGGUGAAGAAGCGCCUCGGCGCGUAAAGCCCUGUCAGCAGGGAAGAAAAUGACGGUACCUGAAGAAGAAGCCCCGGCUAACUACGUGCCAGCAGCCGCGGUAAUACGUAGGGGGCAAGCGUUAUCCGGAUUUACUGGGUGUAAAGGGGGCGCAGACGGCGAUGCAAGCCAGGAGUGAAAGCCCAAGGCUCAACCAUGGGACUGCUUUUGAAACUGUCAAACUAGAGUACGGGAGAG